RNAcentral lists this long non-coding RNA (1692 nucleotides) under Felis catus (domestic cat). RNAcentral describes it as "lncRNA (ENSFCAG00000041235.2)". The record is from RNAcentral. Lineage: Eukaryota; Metazoa; Chordata; Mammalia; Carnivora; Felidae.
AUGCUGGGACGCGGAGUCCGAUCGGUGCAACCCGGGAAGGGAGCGUCUAAGACUGCAACUCCCAGAAGGCACCGCGCGAGCGCGAGCCUCCGUUGGCUGCCUUCCCGAUAUCCUCAGCCAAUAAAUGUGUCAUCUGCUCCCGGUCCCGGGCACCGGAACAAAUCGGAACAGGGUCUAUUCGUGGGGGCGGAGCCUAUCGCAACCCUGGUCCUUUCCGCAGGUUCCGAGAUCAUGGCACCGCCCAGUGGGCGGGCCCUCAAGCUGAAAGCGAGGGGGUCUGCUGCCGGAAAGAGGCCAGAGCCUGUGGGCACCGGAGAGAUAUACUGGAAUCUGAUGCUAGUUAUACAUCUCUAAACUGUGAAGAGGAUGGUUUUCCAUCUGUACCAGUUCUGGGCCUGCUUCUUGAAUCCACACCUCUGCUCCACAUCACUGGCAAGCCAAUACCUGCAAGUUAUAUUCUCUGACUUUCCCGUGAGUAAGAAGAGGUGGGAGGGCAAGAGAGAGUGUCGGGAUGUUUCCCCCUCCUUCUCUGUUGGUGGCAUCUUCAACACCAGCUGCAAUUCUCCCAUGGUGCCAACUCCUGCAAGGCAGGCCUGCCACAGUUCCCUCUUCCUCUGGUUGACUCUGGGCCCUGGUUCCAGUAAUUACUACCUCUUCCCCUUGUUCCUGCCUCUGCAAGAAAUUUGAGAUUCUUCAAUCACAGUCAUAAAACAUCCUUAGCUUUUGGGUGGACAAUCAAGCUGAGUAGUUAGGAUAUGAGCUUGAAGUCUCCGUGCCCCUCAUGCUGCUCCAUCACACGGCCACUCAGCCUCUAGAGCCUUGCUUUCCAUGAGCACUUCAUUCCAGGUGACUGGGAUUUUCAUAAAUUGACUCCUUCACCAUUGUACGUCUGAUCUGUCAGAGUGCUCUGACUUAAAGCUGGGUUUUCACUGCCCUUGGUCCCAGUUCUGCUGCUGCUGGCCUUAGCUUGCACUGCCGAUCCCCCAGAAAUUAGAUGCUGGAGCUGCUGCUCCUUCUACCCUAUUACCAAAAAGGGAUUCUGCCUUAAGUUUCCCUUUCUUAUGGUAACCAGGAGUCUGAUUUGCUUUAUGCCAAUUCCUCACGUAGGAAUUGAGAAGGCCAACAUUGAUGGGAAACUCUGGGAUCCUUUCCUGCCUCAUUUGGUCAGGAAUCUGAGAUUUAAGACUGCCUGAGCUGGAAAGGUCCUCUGAGUUCAUCUAGGCCAACACCUUCCUUUUCAGAUGGGGAAACUGAGAUGCAAAGUGGGGAAAGGGAUUUUCCAGGGCCAAGCAGAGGGCAGGUGGCAGAGCUGGGAUUAGAACCCAGAGGCGUGGGCAGGCCAGGGGAGGGUGAUGGGAUGGAUGGAGUGUUGGUGGCAACAAGCAGCCUCCAUUCCUGACCAUUGGGAAGUAAGUGAAACUCUUAGAAUCCAAAAGACCCCUCCCACUAUCCCCUUGGCCCUCUGCACCCCACACACAUUCAGAAGGCCGGGGUCUCACCAUCACUUCUUUGGGAUGUGAUGUGAGGAGUUUAUAGAAGGAAGCUGAGGUCAGACUGAUUCUCAUGUGGUAGCUCUGGGAAGAAGGAGAAUGGAGAAAACAGCUUUGCAAAGAAGUGAAGUGAAGUGAGGUAAGGUGAGUUGGGGUGAAGUGAAAUAAUAAAAUAAAAUAUAAUAUAAAAUAAAAUGAAAUA